Pelobates cultripes (western spadefoot toad) is the source of this 219-nucleotide non-coding RNA. Lineage: Eukaryota; Metazoa; Chordata; Amphibia; Anura; Pelobatidae. The record is from the annotation of a GenBank genome assembly.
CCUUAAACGGUGACUAGGGCACUAUAGCAUUAAGAUUACACAUUUGUAUUCCUGGAUAUAAUGUUCCUUCAAGGGAGAUACAAUAUACUUACCUGAAUAUCUCCCUCUCCAAUCUUUCUUCUGACUUCAGCUCCUGGUAUGCAAGACAUUACAACAUAGAGGUCUACUGAGGAUCCCAGGAGACUGCAGGAUCUUCCAUGGAAAUUAACUUACAAGGUG